GAUGAACGCUAGCUACAGGCUUUAACACAUGCAAGUCGAGGGGAAACGACAUCGAAAGCUUGCUUUUGGUGGGCGUCGACCGGCGCACGGGUGAGUAACGCGUAUCCAACCUGCCCACCACUUGGGGAUAACCUUGCGAAAGUAAGACUAAUACCCAAUGAUAUCCCACGAAGGCAUCGGAAUGGGAUUAAAGAUUUAUCGGUGAUGGAUGGGGAUGCGUCUGAUUAGCUUGUUGGCGGGGUAACGGCCCACCAAGGCAACGAUCAGUAGGGGUUCUGAGAGGAAGGUCCCCCACAUUGGAACUGAGACACGGUCCAAACUCCUACGGGAGGCAGCAGUGAGGAAUAUUGGUCAAUGGGCGGAAGCCUGAACCAGCCAAGUAGCGUGCAGGAUGACGGCCCUAUGGGUUGUAAACUGCUUUUAUAAGGGAAUAAAGUUAGUCUCGUGAGACUUUUUGCAUGUACCUUAUGAAUAAGGACCGGCUAAUUCCGUG
Molecule: ribosomal RNA, 493 nt
Filed under: uncultured bacterium
Lineage: Bacteria
Description: bacterial SSU rRNA
Rfam family: Bacterial small subunit ribosomal RNA
Source: RNAcentral